Molecule: ribosomal RNA, 232 nt
Filed under: uncultured bacterium
Lineage: Bacteria
Description: partial 16S ribosomal RNA
Rfam family: Bacterial small subunit ribosomal RNA
Source: RNAcentral
GACUAACGUUGGCGGCGUGCAUAAUACAUGCAAGUCACACGGGCCACGCAAGUGGCUAGUGGCGAACGGGUGAGUAACACGUGGAUGAUCUACCCUUAAGAUCGGGAUAACUAGCCGAAAGGUUAGCUAAUACCGGGUAUGACCACGUCCAGUAUCGUCUGGAUGGGGUAAGAGCUGGGGACCGCAAGGCCUAGCGCUUAAGGAUGAGUCCGCGGCUGAUUAGCUAGUUGGC